RNAcentral lists this ribosomal RNA (253 nucleotides) under uncultured bacterium. RNAcentral's name for it is "partial 16S ribosomal RNA". It matches the Rfam family "Bacterial small subunit ribosomal RNA", at positions 524 to 776 of the family's 1533-position model. The record is from RNAcentral.
GACGAACCGAGCGAACGUUGUUCGGAAUCACUGGGCUUAAAGGGCGCGUAGGCGGGUCUUCAAGUCCGGGGUGAAAUCCCACAGCUCAACUGUGGAACUGCCUCGGAUACUGGGGGCCUCGAGGGUGGUAGGGGUAUGCGGAACUAUCGGUGGAGCGGUGAAAUGCGUUGAUAUCGAUAGGAACUCCGGUGGCGAAGGCGGCAUACUGGACCACAUCUGACGCUGAGGCGCGAAAGCCAGGGGAGCAAACGGG